UGGCCUCAGCGAAGAUGGGCCGGGCAGGGACCAUGGCGGUGGCAGCAGAGGUGGCAGGGGCGGGGCGGCUGGCGGUAGAGGAGGCUGUGGUCCUCAGGGGGCUGUAGGUGGAGGUAUGGCUCGGGCCAGCAGCGGGAACGGCAGCGAGGAGGCCUGGGGGGCACUUCGGGCGCCGCAACAGCAGCUUCGAGAGCUGUGCCCAGGAGUGAACAACCAGCCCUAUCUCUGUGAGAGUGGUCACUGCUGCGGGGAGACUGGCUGCUGCACCUACUACUAUGAGCUCUGGUGGUUCUGGCUGCUCUGGACUGUCCUCAUCCUCUUUAGCUGCUGUUGCGCCUUCCGCCACCGACGAGCUAAACUCAGGCUGCAACAACAGCAGCGGCAGCGUGAAAUCAACUUGUUGGCCUAUCAUGGGGCAUGCCAUGGGGCUGGUCCUUUCCCUACCGGUUCACUGCUUGACCUUCGUGAGUGACUUGAUGCCCUGGGUCAGCUACCAGUGGCCUUCCCCAAACCAGAACCCCAAAUCGUCUCACAUUCCCUUUUCCACACAUUUCAAAGUAUUUUUCCCUAAUAUAAAAACUAGCACCCUAUACCUGGUUGUCUUCAACCAAUCAUGCCAAUUUUCUCCCCUGCAGGCCUCCUCAGCACCUUCAAGCCCCCAGCCUAUGAGGAUGUGGUUCACCGCCCAGGCACACCACCCCCGCCUUAUACUGUGGCCCCAGGCCGCCCCUUGACUGCUUCCAGUGAACAAUCCUGCUGUUCCUCCUCAUCCAGCUGCCCUGCCCACUUUGAAGGAACAAAUGUGGAAGGUGUUUCCUCCCACCAGAGUGCCCCCCAUCAUCAGGAU
Molecule: small RNA, 847 nt
Filed under: Pan troglodytes (chimpanzee)
Lineage: Eukaryota; Metazoa; Chordata; Mammalia; Primates; Hominidae
Description: retained intron
Source: RNAcentral